Bombus huntii is the source of this 4230-nucleotide long non-coding RNA. RefSeq lists it as uncharacterized. The transcript has 8 exons. NCBI's taxonomy places the organism in Eukaryota, Metazoa, Arthropoda, Insecta, Hymenoptera, Apidae. The record is from RefSeq and is a predicted model, not a curated record.
GACGCAGCGAACCACCUCACCUGCGCAUCGCUCCUCGCCAACGCGUGCGCCCUAAGCCACCAGUCAUAUGUCACGUAAUAAAAGAACGAGGUUUUCUAAGUAGAAGAAUGAGCAAUAGCUCAUUCAUAUGCUUUAUUAACUGCAGAUUACAAACUGAGGUUACUGACCGGGGUUUUUAUUUCUUUAUUAUGACUCAUAUCUUAUGGGUGAGGGUCUGGCUGUUGUCUUUUCUUUUAAUUAUCACAAUGCUAGGUGUUAUCGAUAUAUCCGAUGUCAGCAGAUGCCUGCCUCUUGGGUGGUCGUUACACAACAAUGGCAUCUAUUUUAUCCAUGUGCGCGUUAUAUUAAUAAUUAUUCCAUAUUUAGGAAUUCGCAAGUGACAUUUCUUCGCAAGUGUAAAUAAGUCCCUCAACAACGGAUACUAUAUUACCCGCAAUACGCUCAACUUAUAAUCUCCACACGAGUAGAGAAUCGUUCCCAUGAAGUGCACCGUUAAAUUAUGAUGUCAAUAUCGGCAAACCUCUCCGCAGCCCGAGAAAUAAUGAGUGAACAAUUGACAGCCUAUACCUAAUACAACUACCUAAUACCUAAUACCAACUAUAUCUAAUACAUAGUCAUCUAUUAUAGUAAAAUAGCCUAAUAUAUAAUAAAUCUCAUAGUACCAUAUCAAUAGUACAUUAAUAAAUAAAAUAGAUAUUAUAAUAAGGUUCACUUACUAAAUAAUCAUUCAAAUCUACUUUCAGAUAUCGAAAAACCUCGUUCACCUAGCACUACGCCAGCCAAGGCUUACCUCUCAAGUAAGAACAAGAUAAUUCUUCAUUCUACUUUCUAAGAUCAGCUCCUUCUUUGCUGUUACGUCAGGCGACCCUCUACCUGGACCAGGCCAUACACCGCGGGCCAGACGGACACCAGACGUCCGCUCAUCCUUACGACGUACCCUCAAUAGCCUAAGUACCCGUCAUAAAACCCGAGUAAUUUGCUUGCUAAGGUCCUUCAGACUCAACAAAUGUCUUUUUCUAAAUUAGUUUCUAAAGACUAUUGCUUACUACGGCUUGACAAGGGAAAGUUGGGUUUUUCCACGUACGAUGCUUCCUAAUAACAACUUUCUAUCGAGGGUAGCUAAGAUCCUUCCUAGUCCACCAACCUCCGUUUAUCCAAUCAGAAGCAAUGUAUACUGCCCUCACUUUCCUGACCAAAAAUGUCAUGAACAAAUCCGAUGGUCCUGUGCGCUAGACACACCCAUCGCUAGCUUUCCUCCAACAUAGCAUCGUCGCUGUAACCUACUUUUCCUCCGAAAUCCAGAGAGUCAAGUCAACUACUUCUCCUACGACAUCCAAAGAGUCAAGUCAACUACUUCUCCUACGACAUCCAGAGAGUCAAGUCAACUACUUCUACGACACCAGUCUCGAUCAAACGUCAGCUCAAGUCAGUGUUCACCAAGAACGAUUCAUGGCGUCGAUUAGUCAAUCGUAACGGGAAUUUACGACUCCCGUUGGCGCGCUUCCUCGAGAUCGCAUCUCCCCACGAACGUGCGAAUUUACAUUUGCUCCUCAACACAUUCAUCACCCAAUUCUCUGCCUCGUAGGAGCACGCACCCACUAGAAAUAUCGAAAACCUCGUUCCCUAAACACUACGCAAGCCAAGGCUUACCUCUCAAGAUAUCCUGUUCUACCUCCUAAAAUCGAAACCUUCUUCGCACAUCACCGCACUUCGCCCAAGUCUUACCUCGUAGGGGUACACUCCUAUUAAGAGCAUCAAGACCUCCUUUGCAUGACACAAGGCCAUCAUUGAUUUAUCAUUAUCUCUAAAAAUAUCAAACCUCGUUCCCCUAACACUACCAAGCAAGAACUUAGCUCUCAAGAAAGUGCAAAAUUAUCCUUCAUUCUACCUCUCAAAAACGAAACCUUCUUUACUCAUCCAACGCACAUUCUUCGCACAAAUCUUUACCUCGUAAGGGUAUGUACACCUUUCUAUAUACUACACUAACUAAAUGAAAAAAAAUAAUCAUCUAGAAAAACAUUAUAACUAAUCGUCAAACUCAUUUCUUUCUUUACAGGUAACGACUCUUCGACUUUCAAGCACAACAUAACCUAAAAUUUUUCGAACUAUUUACACGCCUUAAUCAAAAACUUUUAUAAUUUUAUCGCACUACUCCGCCCUACAGGCUUACACCCUAUGCAAACAACUUCACUGUCUGUCCACCUACGCAAAAAAAUAUCCUCCAUCGCUCAAUUUAAACACUAAACACCUACGAUUCCCCAAAGGGUAUUAAUUAUAAAUCCGCGGUAAUUCAGCAAAAAAACACACAUCCCUCAUGUAAAAUUGUAAAUUCACACGCACUCUAUAUUAUUUCAAUCACUCCCGCAGCCACGGAAAGCUCAACUUCUCCAUCGUUUUAAAUUAUAUUGUACACAGCAUCGACAUAACCGCCUGUAACCUCAAGUACCAAUUUUUUAAUUUUCGCCGAAUAUUAGUAGUUACAGGCAGCUAAAUCACUCCACUAAGCAAUAAUCACGCAUCGCCGUUCUCUUAGUGUCCACUGAAAGGAUCAAAUUCCUCAUCUCAUUUGAACUUGUAAUCAAUAAAUCUCCUCAUCCUGAUCAAACUUACCUGUUGACGAUUCGAACACUCCGACUGGGGAUGCUACGUGCCUGGUGAGUUUUCCUAGGUAUUGAUAAAAUUGGGACGGUUUCCUUUCGCCCAUUUCUUCAGACUCCAGCAACUUUCGUAUUCUCGUGCUGUCUGAAUCAGCCAGUUUCCGGAUAAUUUCACUCUUUAAUUUUUCGUAUCGUUCCGUGGCUGAUAGACUCACUACUGCAUCCUCGACUUGCUGCAGGUGCCGAUUCUCGAGACAUUUGGCGAGGAUCACGAUUCGCAGUUGCUUAACAGUCGCAGCCUCUGGAACUUUUACGUUUACGGUGCAUCCUACCAUUUUGCUGCGUCAUGUCUCGGAUAUUCGGGGAUCGCGAUCGUGGUUUGCAACGACUGUCGAGGAGCAGCGCGCGAAUUUACGCUACUCGUCCGCGAACUUCGUGGCUGGGGGCGGUUCGAUUCCUCGCUGUCCGUUGUUGUCUGUCCGGGCUGUUCUGCGCUUAUUUCGUGGAUCCUGUCUGCCACCGUGGUGAGGUCAUUCGGAUUUGUUUCCAUUAUGGCAGCCAGGAUCCGUUGCAUAUUCACUGGGAGGCGGUUCUUCCAAAGCGUCAGAACGAGGUCGUCAGAAAUCGAUAAGGCGGCUAGCUUCUUCAAAUCUCUGUAGAACUGGGAGGGUGUCCUGUCUUCCAUUUUUUUACAUUCAAACAACCUCCGCACUCCUUUGCAGCAGCAUAGCGCAAACGUGGCAACGAUUCAUGUACGGAUUCUGGCCUGCUUUAGACUUCGUAUACGCGUACAUCGACGAUCUCUUGAUAGCCUCGGAAGACAAGCAGCAACGCCGCGAUCACUUGCGAAACUUCGAACGGUUAAAAGAUUACGGUGUCGUAAUUAACUCCGCGAAAUAUGAAUUUGGUUCGAGCGAAAUCACAUUUUUAGGAUACACCGUAAACGCCGAUGGAAUUAAGCCGCUGGUCGAGCGUGUUAAAGUGAUUGUGAACGUUCCAAAGCUCACGACUAAGCAACUGCGAAGGUACCCCGGUAUGAUUAACUUCUACCAAAGUUUCAUACCAGCGGCCGCAAAAAUCCUCCGACCACUCAACAAUUUACUAAAAGAUGCAAAAAAAAUUGACAGAUCACCGGUGAUCUCCUUCCGUCGCAGUUCGAAUGUUUUACAAAUAAGGUGAAGAAUUGAACUUUAGUAACCAGCCCAAGCUCAUUAUCACAUAUCUCGGACAAUUUAUAAUCGCACAGGGACAGUGCCGCGUUCGUCAUAAGAGAGUUGUACCAUUAUCGUGUCCUUAAAUCGUAGCCGAUGUCACAGACGAAAUUCGAGCAGCUGUAUAUAACAAACCGAAAUUCCGAACGCCUUAUCGCGUGUGACCGUCCGGUCAGCAUCCGUUCUCAGCCACCUGAGUGGCAUUCGAUCACUCCAGCCGUUCUCCGAAUUUUACACUAAGUAUAAACAAAACCUUCUCCCACUCCAACGAAUGGAAGAAUAUAGCUGCUCCCUUCAAAAUCAUCCAGUCAGUCUAAAAAAAAUUCUUAACUAAUCCAAGUAUCGAAAGUGUAUCAUCGCGAACCGAAAAAAUUGUAUAAAUUGAGUAAACAAUAAAAAGAACUUUAUCUCCUUUUCGGAAA